AUUGAACGCUGGCGGCAUGCCUUACACAUGCAAGUCGAACGGCAGCACGGGAGCAAUCCUGGUGGCGAGUGGCGAACGGGUGAGUAAAGUAUCGGAACGUGCCCAGUCGUGGGGGAUAACGCAGCGAAAGUUACGCUAAUACCGCAUACGAUCUAUGGAUGAAAGCGGGGGAUCGCAAGACCUCGCGCGAUUGGAGCGGCCGAUAUCAGAUUAGGUAGUUGGUGGGGUAAAGGCUCACCAAGCCGACGAUCUGUAGCUGGUCUGAGAGGACGACCAGCCACACUGGGACUGGGACACGGCCCAGACUCCUACGGGAGGCAGCAGUGGGGAAUUUUGGACAAUGGGCGAAAGCCUGAUCCAGCCAUGCCGCGGGCAGGAUGAAGGCCUUCGGGUUGUAAACUGCUUUUGUACGGAACGAAAAGGUUUGGCCUAAUAAGCUGAGCUCAUGACGGUACCGUAGAAUAAGCACCGGCUAACUACGUGCCAGCAGCCGCCGUAA
This 499-nucleotide ribosomal RNA is filed under the name uncultured bacterium. RNAcentral describes it as "partial 16S ribosomal RNA". It matches the Rfam family "Bacterial small subunit ribosomal RNA", at positions 30 to 523 of the family's 1533-position model. The record is from RNAcentral.